GCCAGACUCCUACGGGAGGCAGCAGUGGGGGAUAUUGCACAAUGGGGGGAACCCUGAUGCAGCGACGCCGCGUGGGUGAAGGAGCGUUUCGGCGCGUAAAGCCCUAUCGGCAGGGAAGAAGGAGGACGGUACCUGACUAAGAAGCCCCGGCUAACUACGUGCCAGCAGCCGCGGUAAUACGUAGGGGGCAAGCGUUAUCCGGAUUUACUGGGUGUAAAGGGGGCGCAGACGGCGAUGCAAGCCAGGAGUGAAAGCCCGGGGCCCAACCCCGGGACUGCUCUUGGAACUGCGUGGCUGGAGUGCAGGAGGGGCAGGCGGAAUUCCUGGUGUAGCGGUGAAAUGCGUAGAUAUCAGGAGGAACACCGGUGGUGAAGGCGGCCUGCUGGACUGCAACUGACGUUGAGGCCCGAAAGCGUGGGGAGCAAACAGGAUUAGAUACCCCAGUAC
This 447-nucleotide ribosomal RNA is filed under the name uncultured bacterium. RNAcentral describes it as "partial 16S ribosomal RNA". It matches the Rfam family "Bacterial small subunit ribosomal RNA", at positions 330 to 793 of the family's 1533-position model. The record is from RNAcentral.